This 498-nucleotide ribosomal RNA is filed under the name uncultured bacterium. RNAcentral's name for it is "partial 16S ribosomal RNA". It matches the Rfam family "Bacterial small subunit ribosomal RNA", at positions 27 to 507 of the family's 1533-position model. The record is from RNAcentral.
GGAUGAACGCUGGCGGCGUGCCUAAUACAUGCAAGUCGAGCGAACAGACGAGGAGCUUGCUCCUCUGACGUUAGCGGCGGACGGGUGAGUAACACGUGGAUAACCUACCUAUAAGACUGGGAUAACUUCGGGAAACCGGAGCUAAUACCGGAUAAUAUAUUGAACCGCAUGGUUCAAUAGUGAAAGACGGUUUUGCUGUCACUUAUAGAUGGAUCCGCGCCGCAUUAGCUAGUUGGUAAGGUAACGGCUUACCAAGGCAACGAUGCGUAGCCGACUUGAGAGGGUGAUCGGCCACACUGGAACUGAGACACGGUCCAGACUCCUACGGGAGGCAGCAGUAGGGAAUCUUCCGCAAUGGGCGAAAGCCUGACGGAGCAACGCCGCGUGAGUGAUGAAGGUCUUCGGAUCGUAAAACUCUGUUAUUAGGGAAGAACAAAUGUGUAAGUAACUAUGCACGUCUUGACGGUACCUAAUCAGAAAGCCACGGCUAACUACGUG